GAAAAAAUUAACAGAAUUACCGAAGUAUUUUUUUUUUCAUAUAAAAAAAUAUUUUAGCUUGGAGCAACCCUCAAACAAUACACUUCAAAAUGACAUGAAAAAUUGACUGGGUCGUUCCUGAUCCCCAGGCAGGUCCCUAAAAUGGCAUCAAGAUCAUAAACACAUUUUAGAUUAAGAAAAACAGUAUGAAAGGACUAUGAUGUGCUCGUGACAG
RNAcentral lists this unclassified non-coding RNA (214 nucleotides) under Hevea brasiliensis (rubber tree). Lineage: Eukaryota; Viridiplantae; Streptophyta; Magnoliopsida; Malpighiales; Euphorbiaceae. The record is from RNAcentral.